This 229-nucleotide long non-coding RNA is filed under the name Elaeis guineensis (African oil palm). RNAcentral's name for it is "long non-coding RNA (EGUI_LNC010832)". Lineage: Eukaryota; Viridiplantae; Streptophyta; Magnoliopsida; Arecales; Arecaceae. The record is from RNAcentral.
GUUAUCCACAUCCGGAUAGCUCAUCCAGGAUAUUUGUAUUUUAGACCUCCACGUCGUCCGACAGCAUGCUCGUAUCUCCAUCGAUAUCUAUGAUCAGGGCCCUGGCACUGCAGAGUCCAUUCCUUUACCUUUUAUGCAUCCCUCAUCAUUAGGAGCACCUGCAUUGCAUAGAGGAGGUACCAGAUGAUAUUGCUCAUCAUCGUUUCUGAUCUCAGAUCUUCCAUCAUUC